Non-coding RNA from Triticum aestivum (bread wheat), 127 nucleotides. The record is from Rfam. Lineage: Eukaryota; Viridiplantae; Streptophyta; Magnoliopsida; Poales; Poaceae.
CAAAUACUACCUAAGUCCCAAAUUACUUGUCUUAAAUUUGUCUAGAUAUGAAUGUAUUUAGACACAUUAGAUACAUCUGUACCUAAACAAAUCUAAGACAAGUAAUUUGGGACGGAGGGAGUAUCGA